Molecule: non-coding RNA, 133 nt
Filed under: Nippostrongylus brasiliensis
Lineage: Eukaryota; Metazoa; Nematoda; Chromadorea; Rhabditida; Heligmosomidae
Description: Eukaryotic large subunit ribosomal RNA
Rfam family: Eukaryotic large subunit ribosomal RNA
Source: Rfam by way of RNAcentral
UAGUAAUCUUGCUUAGUACGAGAGGAACAGCAGGUUCAGACAUUUGGUUCAUGGACUUGACCGAUCGGUCAAUGGUCCGAAGCUGCCAUCUGGGGGAUUAUGACUUUCUUUGUGGUAAGGUGCGCUACUGAUA